RNAcentral lists this ribosomal RNA (264 nucleotides) under uncultured bacterium. Its description in RNAcentral is "partial 16S ribosomal RNA". It matches the Rfam family "Bacterial small subunit ribosomal RNA", at positions 226 to 507 of the family's 1533-position model. The record is from RNAcentral.
UGGGCCCGCGUUGGAUUAGCUAGUUGUGGGGUAAAGGCCUACCAAGGCGACGAUCCAUAGCUGGUCUGAGAGGAUGAUCAGCCACACUGGGACUGAGACACGGCCCCAGACUCCUACGGGAGGCAGCAGUGGGGAAUAUUGGACAAUGGGCGAAAGCCUGAUCCAGCAAUGCCGCGUGAGUGAUGAAGGCCUUAGGGUUGUAAAGCUCUUUUACCCGGGAUGAUAAUGACAGUACCGGGAGAAUAAGCUCCGGCUAACUCCGUG